This 326-nucleotide ribosomal RNA is filed under the name uncultured eukaryote. Its description in RNAcentral is "partial 18S ribosomal RNA". It matches the Rfam family "Eukaryotic small subunit ribosomal RNA", at positions 1470 to 1796 of the family's 1831-position model. The record is from RNAcentral.
CCCUUAGAUGUUCUGGGCCGCACGCGCGCUACACUGAUUCAUGCAACAAGUUUUGUCCUUGGCUGAUAGGCCUGGGUAAUCUUUGAACGUGAAUCGUGAUGGGGAUAGAUGAUUGCAAUUAUUCAUCUUCAACGAGGAAUUCCUAGUAAACGCAAGUCAUCAGCUUGCAUUGAUUACGUCCCUGCCCUUUGUACACACCGCCCGUCGCACCUCCGAUUGAAUGGUCCGGUGAAAUCUUCGGAUCUGAGAGAUGUCUGAUUAAUUUCGGACGCCUUUUGGAAAAGUUGUUUAAACCUUACCAUUUAGAGGAAGGUGAAGUCGUAACA